AGGAUGCCUCGUAGAAUAUCAUCAUCUAGAGGUAGAGGACGGGGUCGACAGGACACAAUGUCUCAACCCAUGCAGUCUUUGAGGGAUGAACAAAAUGAAGACCAAAGCAUAGGACAUGAGCCACUACAGUUGCCAGUGGAUACUCAAGUUUCACCUACUCCACUACAAUUAGGGGGGCAAGUAGCAGCAUCGUCAUCAUCAUCAGUUCGAACUAGAGGUCCGAAUUUAGGGCAGCCAACACCAGUAAACCCAACAAAUCGACAAAUGAUAAGAUUAAGGGGCCUUGUCUUCUCGGAUAUAUCUGUCUCUCGCUCAAUAACCAAUGACAUUAAGAUGCACUUUACAGCUCCAUGGAAAACUUGGGCAAAAAUACCCAUCAAGAUGAAGGAUGAGCUAUUUGGAAAAUUUCAAGGUCGUUACAUGUGGGAUGAAACUGAAGAGCAGAAUGUGCGUCUUGCUUGGGAUAAGCUUGGGAAGGAUAGAUUUCGUGAUAUUCUUAACAGAGCUAGGAAUGAAAUGUUGGUGAAGCACAAAAAAAGUGAUAUUGCUUAUUUGCACAAUCUAGGACCAAACUGGAUGAAAGCAGAGGUGUGGAAUGAGCUUGUUGAUUAUUGGAGUUCUCCAGAGUGGCGAAAGAAGUCACAAUCUGCUAAGAUUAAUAGAAUGACAGUAAAAGAUGGGUCAAUUACAAAACAUGCUUGUGGUUCAAUCAAAAUUGAGAUUCAUGAGGAUCGAUUGACAAAGAAGUUAGAUAGGCCACCAAAUAAGAUUGAAGUAUUUCGAGCAACUCACACCAAAAAGGGUGUUGAUGGUGUAUUCAUUGAUGGCAAAUCACAACGGGUCGAUGAAGAUUAUGCAAGUGCAAUUGUGGAGAAAUAUGGUUCUAAUUCUGAAUCCCCACCAAUAUUUGAUAUGGAUAAGUGGAUAGAAGUAUCUGGAAGGUUUAAUAAAGGAAGGGUGUAUGGUUUUGGGUCUUCUGCAAAAUCUCAAACAAGUGGAUCAUCUACCUCUCAAUCAUGCACAUCUGCUUAUCCUGGGUCAUCUUCUCAGCCUGCGAUGACACAAGAGGAAAUUCAACAACUUAUAGAUGAAAAAGCAUCACGAAUGAGGGCAGAGAUGAUGGCUGAAAUACUUGAUCAGGUGCGAAAGGAGUUAAAGACCACAGGUGGUACUCAGUUUGCAACAUCUUCACAUCCAACCACUUCAGACUCUACAAAUCCAUAGGAUAAUCUAGAUAAUUGAUUAUGCUAUUUAUGUUUCUGUUUAAAGAUAUUAUUAUGUGCGGAAUAUUAAUAGUAUUUUUUCUGAAUAUGAUUGUAUUUUAACUUACAUUUUAUUAAUUUAACUACUUUGUAUGGAUUAUUUGACA
Molecule: unclassified non-coding RNA, 1369 nt
Filed under: Hevea brasiliensis (rubber tree)
Lineage: Eukaryota; Viridiplantae; Streptophyta; Magnoliopsida; Malpighiales; Euphorbiaceae
Source: RNAcentral